CAGAUAUUCACCUUCCUUCUUCAGGCGCCCACUACCUCUCCUUCUCCCUCCGCCGUGUUCACCGUUCACCGUAGCCUCCCACUUCACUUCCAUCGACACAGCCGUGACCGUCACCUCCUCCUUCUCUCCCCUCGGCCGUUCCUUUCCUCUCCUUCAGCCGUGACAGCCACAUCCCUCACUUCAAUGUCUCCGCCGUUCGUCGCCUCCUCCAUUCACUGCUCCAAGUCGUCGAUCUUUAGGGUGCCGUCUACUAUCAGUGUUCGCAGUGUCGUCAUUUUUUUCAGAACUCCACAUCUCGCCACUGCCAUUUCCUCUUCUCUUUACUGUCACCCUGCUGUCCACUACUACUGCUGAGUAAUCGGAGUUCCGCGUUUCUGUUUGUGCUCCAACUCGUGUCCUUUACACGAGCUCCAUUUUUCAUUGUGCUAGUUCUUAGUCUGUACGGUUCAGGCGCUACAAUCUGAAAUUUGCUCUCAUAUUCUGAGACAUUUGGAUGCUCUUAUCUUGUUAUCUGCUGGUGGAUGACAUGCUGUGACUCGUGAUUUUGAGUGGGAGAUGUUCUUUUGGUAAUAUUAUGAGCUGUUCACCUCCAAAUGUUGGCAUGGUUCUUGCUUCUGAACUUGGCUGUUCUUCUUGAUUAAAUUUUGUCAUUGGACUGAUGCUGUGAUGGUUAAUUACUGUGACUUGAGCCGGCUUUUCUUCUGUUUGUUUGCUAGGGAUGGCUAAAAAAGGGCAAAGUUCCACAGCUAAACGCUAGGGUGCCCCAAGCUCUUCCUCAACUCAGAAAGCGACUAAGAAAUCUAACAAAACCCACAUCUUCUGCACAAAGGCUACUUCCUGGGGCCUUUUAACUUGUGGAUCAAGCAGCAGUUGGAGUCCAUAGAAGAUGCCAUUGACCGGGUGGAACAGAAUCAAUGCUUAAUCAUGCAACAUUUACGCAUACCAGGUUUUGACCUGCCUGUUCCAUCUGUGGCUCCUUCUCUUGUUCCAUUCAUGGAUCCCUCUCAUGUUGAUCCUACCACUGAUUUAAGCUUCUAUUCAGUUUGACCUUUGUUUCUCUCUGUUUUGCACUUUUGGUUUAUUUGUUUUUUGUUCCUUUUUGUUAUUUUGCUGCUUUUGUGACUGUUUAAUUUGAUAUUUUGGGUUGUGACUGAUAUUUCACAACUUCCUACUUGCUAGUCUGUAUCCAACUUUUUGGUUUACUCUCCAAUUUAUCCACUUCUCUAUUUGAUGUAAUUAGCAGGUAUUAUAUUCUCUUGAAGAUAUGCCACUCAUCUUUGUCUUUGAGUCUUUUUGUUUCUCAACUCGCAAUGUCUGUCGGUUAGGGGAGUUUUAGUGUCCUUUUCUCCUUGUUAUUCUAUCUUUAAACAUUGGAAACAAUGUCUAAUUUAAUUGUGGGGGGAGGUUUAUUAUAUGCAGCUAUGCAUUUUGAAUAGUUGCUUGUUUGUAGUUUCUCUAUUUUUGAUUUGUUUUGUUUAAAAAAAGAAGAAAAAAAUGUUGUUAUUUUGUUUGAAGUGUCUUCUGUCAUUUGGUGCAUUGCUUAAGAUGGAGUUUGACUUUGGUUCCUCAACAACUUAGGGAGUGUUAUUGAAUCAUAAUCAAAAUAGAAAAAGAAUGUUCUUACUAAGCCUUUGAGCCUUAAUCUUGAGCGGGAUUCUUUUGAUGAAUUAUGAUUAAAGUGUUAGUUUCUAAUAAGAUGAACAAAGGAUUAGUGUAUCUAAAUUUUGUUAUUCAUUUGUUUGGGGUGAUUUGUGUUGACCUUCACAAGCUAAGUAAAACUUUGGAUUAAGGAGAUGACUUAGGCGUGAAGUAUAGAAAAAAUGAUGAAUAAAUUCUACUCCACUGAUUGAAGCUACUUAAUAACUGGGGAUUUGAACCAAAAAGUGAAUUUUCACGUCCAAUGGUAGUGGAUAUUAUGAAUAAAUUUUGUUUGCUUGGUUUGAGUAAUUGGGUGACUUUAUCACCAAUGUUGUCAUUCGCGUCUAAAAGAUCAAGAGAAAUGAAAAAGAGAUACUUAAAAAAAAAAUAGAGGAAAUAAAACUUGAGGAUCUUUAUUGUGUUGCUUGUAACCUUAGUGCAUGUUUAGAUUAACUUCUAACCUUAGUUAGAAUGGACCAAAUUGAGGUUAGGAUAUAAAAAGCCCAUUUUGUGUUUGGAUUAGCAAAAAUUUUCAACCUCAGUUAGUUGUAAACAAGCGUUUUUUUUUUUUUUGGAAGCCCUCAGACUUGGCUUUUGCCUCAAUGUUAAUGUUGCUGGCUGUUGGAAGCAUUAAUUAUGUUUUAAAUUUUUAUUCUUUCUCUCUCUUCUCAUCUAUCUACCCACGAGGCUCUACUUUUUUAACCUUGCUGUGUGUGGUCCUUUGUUCCUCUCGUGACCUUUCAAGCUCUACCCUCUAUCUACUUCACCUUCCACUGCUUCACCUUCUAUUGCUUAUAGGUGGCACCAUCCAGCAGCCAAUCUCCACUGUAUUGAAGCACCAAGAUCUUCACCUUCCGAUCUUGCAUCUAGCGUGUCCCUAUUCCAAAGUGGUUUUAUCCCUAUUGCCUUUCGAUCUCCACCAUGUCCACCAGAUUUGUAGUUCCUGUUGCCGGAUCUACUCCCCAUUGACUGUUCUUGUCAAGUGAGGUUCUUCUUUUCGUCUCCUUCAUACCUUCCUUGCUGUCAUGCUUUGUCUACAAGUGGCCGCAUACCAGAUUCACAUCUUUGAUCCAUUCCAAACCUUUGUUGUGUGAGUAUGAUGCUUUGGAUCAUCCCAAACAUUCACAUCUUUGUCGUGUUUUUCUUGUUUUUUUUUUUCCUUGACUGAAUGGUUGGUGAUAAUUCUUGGCAGGAGUUUCUGAUGAUCCUUGGAUAAAUGAGAAAUAAGGAUAUCAUCCAACCUUUACCUUCAUCUUGUUGACUGAAUGCUUGUUUGUUAACUUUAUGUUCAUCUUAGGUAUACGACUUUUUUCUCUUCUGUGCAAUUUGUUCCUCUGUAAUUCGAGUUUUUUUUUUUGGCUUGUUUUGUUGUUGUUAUGCAGUCCUCAAAUUCUUGUACUUGUCCUUUCUUGGAACUCAGGUCUGUUUGUGCUUGAAUUCUUUUUUGAAAUGCAGGUAACAUAAGUAGAAAUGCCCAUGGAGUUUUUUGAUUCUGUAACUUUGGACAUUUUUGAGAAACUUUGGUUCAUUUAUUUUGGAUGAAGAAUCAAAAUUGGGAUCUGAUUGUUAUUUCCUUGCUUUUCUUUGGAUGUAUCUUGUCCUUGAACUCUUAAGCUGAAUCCAUGCAUAGUCCCUAAUUAGAAUACAAUUCCCUUGGUUUUUUGGCCAUCGAUAUGUUAUUUAUUGUUCUUUGAUUUUUUCCUUCUUUCCUAUUGAUUUAGAUUUGAACUUUUCCCUGGCGGGUCCAAGAGUCUAGUAAAGCUUCACCAUUUAUUUUCUGUGGUAUAAACUUCCAAUGAGAUUCAUAUGAUUCAUACUCUGUUUUGUAUACAUAUAUCAUUGUCUACAAAUUUUGUGCGAAAAUAACAGUGUUUAGUCUCACUACUCUAUAGGGUUUAAUUGUGUGUCCAUCUAUAAAUGAACAGAAUGUGUGUCUCUUGCUUCGAGUAUGAUAACAAAUCUCUAAUUUAUUUUUUUCAACUCCUCCUCUUCUGUCAAGGUGAUAAAGUUUCAGGUGUAAAUCUCUUGGUAAGAUUUCUUAUACGCAAUCCUUCUUGUCUUGUGCAUGUUGGGGAACUGGGAUACUAAUUCCAUAAAACAUUAGCAACGUGGGCAGUUCCUUCCUUGUUUUAGGAUUAUUAUUUUCUUUUAGUUUCUCUGUGACUCUAGGUUGUGAUGGUAAAUUGAUACAUGUAUGUAGAUAUAUUUAUUGAUUUUGUAUGUUUGUGAUGGCUGGCUAGACUAUAGAAAAAUGAACAGCGACAAAGGAAAAGUUGUGUGGAAUUUAACCUUGGCAGAAAUUUUUAUUAAGGAAUGCUUGGAACAAGUGUACAAGAAACAAAGAAAAGGAACUGCUUUCAACAAAAAUAAUUGGCAAGCAAUUAUAGAGGGGUUUGAGGCAAAACAGAAAAAAAGUAUGAGCAUAAGCAAUUGAAAAAUAAGCUGGACAACAUGAGGAAGGAAUGGAACAUAUGGUAUAAGUUAUUUUCUAGUGAAAUUAGCUUAGGAUGGGACAUGUCAAGAAUACUGUUGAUGCUUUGGAUGAGUGGUGGGAGCGAAAAAUUUUGGUAUGAAUUAGUUAUUAAGUGUUUUUUAGACUAGAAUUUAAUUUGAGAAUUUUAAUUGUUGGUUAUUGGAAUUCUUGCAAGAAAAUCCCCUAUACGAAAAAUUUAGAUAUAAAGGGUUGAGGUUUGCAAGGGAAUUGACCUUGAUAUUCAAGGAUGUCAUGGCAACUGGGGAGAUAUUUUUUGUACCAUUUGCUACUUAGAUCCAAACAAAGGAUGAUGAUGAUGAGGAUGUGUACCGUUCCACCAUUGACCUUCAAGAAGGAUUUGGUGAUAGUGAAGAGAAGCUGAAUUUAUCUAAUACUGCAACACCUACGAGGGUCAUUAAUGAGCUAUUGAGAUUGAUUGUGACCACAAAUACUAGUGGAACUAGUGGUGAUGAAAGUCAAGGUAAAAGAAAGAAAGUUAGAGGAGUUGGUGGAAGGAAAAAGCAAAAAGUUUCUGCUUCAAUGAAAAUAGCAGAUGCUAUGAGUGAAAUAGUUAAGGAAAAUAAAGCGAAAACAGAGACAGUGAACAAGAUUUUGACAAAUGACAUAGGAGUUUCUGAGGUUGUAGCUCACUUAAAUGGACUUCCAGAAGUUUUUGGUGAUAACGAUUUACAUUGAAGAUGUGUUAAUCUUGUUUUGUAUAAACCUAUACGGGAUGCUUAUUGGCAACUUAAAGAUCAUCCUGAUCAUUUGAUCAAUUGGUUGAAGCAUCAAGUCCACAAUCUACCGAAUUUUAUUUCAAAGAAUAUAUUUGGAUAAUAUUUAUAUAGGCUUAUGAUGACUUGACUUGUGUUUGACUUAUAAUUGCUUUAUUUUGACUUGUAGUUUGCUA
Prosopis cineraria is the source of this 5021-nucleotide long non-coding RNA. RefSeq lists it as uncharacterized. The transcript is spliced from 2 exons. The record is from RefSeq and is a predicted model, not a curated record. NCBI's taxonomy places the organism in Eukaryota, Viridiplantae, Streptophyta, Magnoliopsida, Fabales, Fabaceae.